UUCCCGGUUUGAUCUCUCCGGGAGGUCAACCGCUUUUUAGGAUCCGAUUAAGCCAUGCGAGGCGAAUGUGGGUUUCCCGCAUGCCGAACUGCUCAGUAACACGUAGUUAAUCUACCCUUAAGUGAGGGAUAAACCCCGGGAAACUGGGGCUAAUACCUCAUAGAUGAAAAUGUCUGGAACGCUUUUCAUCGAAAGCUUCGGCGCUUAAGGAUGAGACUGCGGCGAAUUAGGUUGUUGUGGGUGUAAUGUACCUACAAGCCGAUAAUUCGUACGGGCGUUGGGAGACGUAGCCCGGAGAUGUGCUCUGAGAUAUGAGCACAGGCCCUACGGGGCGCAGCAGGCGCGAAACCUUUACAAUGCGUGCAAGCGCGAUAAGGGGAUCCUAAGUGCCUAUGUACACCAUAGGCUUUUCUUAAGUCUAAACAGCUUAAGGAAUAAGUGGUGGGUAAGACGGGUGCCAGCCGCCGCGGUAAUACCCGCGCCACAAGUGGUGACCACUAUUAUUGGGUCUAAAGCGUCCGUAGCUGGUUUGGUAAGUCUUUGGUGAAAUCCGAUAGUUGACUGUCGGGUGUGCUGAAGAUACUGCCAGACUCGAGACCGGGAGAGGUUGAGGGUACUUUAGGGGUAGGGGUAAAAUCCGUUAAUCCCUAAAGGACCACCUGUGGCGAAACCCCUUUCUUUUAAAAGAAAGGGUUUACGGAAAAACUUUCCAUCCACAAAAGGCGCUCAACUGGAACGGUUCUGACAGUGAGGGACGAAAGCUAGGGGAGCGAUCGGGAUUAGAUACCCCGGUAGUCCUAGCCGUAAACGAUGCCCACUUUGUGUCACAUAUUCUAUAGUGAAUAUGUGGUGCCGGAGCGAAGGCGUUAAGUGGGCCACCUGGGGAGUACGGUCGCAAGACUGAAACUUAAGGGAAUUGGCGGGGGAGCACCACAAGGGGUGCGGCCUGCGGUUUAAUUGGAGCAACGCCGGAAAU
RNAcentral lists this ribosomal RNA (976 nucleotides) under uncultured archaeon. Its description in RNAcentral is "bacterial SSU rRNA". It matches the Rfam family "Archaeal small subunit ribosomal RNA", at positions 1 to 925 of the family's 1478-position model. The record is from RNAcentral.